AGAAAUAUAAACAGUAAGCUUCUAACUUACAAAAUAGCGAAUAAACGUUAAUAUUUC
Molecule: transfer RNA, 57 nt
Filed under: Anthicidae sp. 1 ACP-2013
Lineage: Eukaryota; Metazoa; Arthropoda; Insecta; Coleoptera; Anthicidae
Description: tRNA-Ser
Source: RNAcentral